This 592-nucleotide long non-coding RNA is filed under the name Anas platyrhynchos platyrhynchos (common mallard). RNAcentral's name for it is "lncRNA (ENSAPLG00000024871.1)". Lineage: Eukaryota; Metazoa; Chordata; Aves; Anseriformes; Anatidae. The record is from RNAcentral.
CACAAACAUCCUGUGAUCUUUAGCAACAGUCAGCUAUGAGCUUUGGAUUUCUGCAACUGCUUACGUUGAUGUGUCAUGGCACACAAACUCAAGGCUGUCUUCCCAAUGAGAAGGACAAGAAACAUCUUCUUUGUCCUUGCUGCUAUCUUCAUUUGUUUGUUCAUUUUUAAGAUAAAAGCUUAGGCUUUCUUUUGUAUUUCUAGGUCCCCAGAAAUGGUGAGGAGGAUCUGGGAAAGGAGAGGGGAGGAAGAGAAGAGGAGUCAGGCUGCAGGGGGGAUGCAAAGACUCUGAUUGCUGAUGAUGGGACUGUAUGGAAAAGAUUUCUUUCAAGCUUACUUGAUGCAAACUGCCUGGGAGAUACUGGCUUUACCAAGGAUUUCUAGGAGGCCUGAGUAUCCCCUCAUGUUGGGAAACAAGCUUCUGGCUUCAGCAUAGGCAGCAGCAGUCAUUGAGCACGUACAGCUAUCCUUCUGAUGAGCCUCCGUCUUCCAUUCCAGAUCAGAACCAAAGCUUGACCUGUGCACCUCAGUCCCUGGAGGGCUCUCUCCACUUGCACACAGGUACCUCACCACAUCCCUCCACCAGCACAGCA